UAGGGAAUCUUCCGCAAUGGGCGAAAGCUUGACGGAGCAACGCCGCGUGAGUGAUGAAGGUCUUCGGAUCGUAAAACUCUGUUAUUAGGGAAGAACAAAUGUGUAAGUAACUAUGCACGUCUUGACGGUACCUAAUCAGAAAGCCACGGCUAACUACGUGCCAGCAGCCGCGGUAAUACGUAGGUGGCAAGCGUUAUCCGGAAUUAUUGGGCGUAAAGCGCGCGUAGGCGGUUUUUUAAUUCUGAUGUGAAAGCCCACGGCUCAACCGUGGUGGGUCAUUGGAUACUGGAAAACUUGAGUGCAGAAGAGGAAAGUGGAAUUCCAUGUGUAGCGGUGAAAUGCGCAGAGAUAUGGAGGAACACCAGUAGCGAAGGCGACUUUCUGGUCUGUAACUGACGCUGAUGUGCGAAAGCGUGGGGAUCAAACAGG
Molecule: ribosomal RNA, 429 nt
Filed under: Actinomycetes bacterium
Lineage: Bacteria; Bacillati; Actinomycetota; Actinomycetes
Description: Actinobacteria bacterium partial 16S ribosomal RNA
Rfam family: Bacterial small subunit ribosomal RNA
Source: RNAcentral